This 66-nucleotide transfer RNA is filed under the name Marmota monax (woodchuck). RNAcentral's name for it is "tRNA.Ala". Lineage: Eukaryota; Metazoa; Chordata; Mammalia; Rodentia; Sciuridae. The record is from RNAcentral.
GAAUGUAGCUCAGUGGAAGAGCAUCUGUCCAGCAUGUGUGAGGCCCUGGGUUCAAUCCCCAGCACA